GUAGAUCGAAAAGUAGUUUGUGCCUGCUGCUGGAUAAGCUGAGCCACCACUUGACAUACACCAGCAAUAUCCGCCUGAGUGGCCGGUGCUCAGGAGCCCGCUCAACUGGUUGAUAGGCAGCUUCCCGUGACGUCAAUCUUGCUUCUCUUGUCCUAGCAGCCAUAUUUGCCAAGAUCUCGCCCUCCCUAUCGCUCAUCGCUUC
RNAcentral lists this long non-coding RNA (202 nucleotides) under Elaeis guineensis (African oil palm). RNAcentral's name for it is "long non-coding RNA (EGUI_LNC026696)". The record is from RNAcentral. Lineage: Eukaryota; Viridiplantae; Streptophyta; Magnoliopsida; Arecales; Arecaceae.